GAUGAAGAACGCAGCGAAAUGCGAUAAGUAAUGUGAAUUGCAGAAUUCAGUGAAUCAUCGAAUCUUUGAACGCACCUUGCGCCCUUUGGCUAUUCCGAAGGGCAUGCCUGUUUGAGUAUCAUGAACACCUCAACUCUCAUGGUUUGCCAUGAUGAGCUUGGACUUGGGGGUUUUGCUGGCCUUCGGUCGGCUCCUCUCAAACGGAUCAGCUUUCCAGUGUUUGGUGGCAUCACGGGUGUGAUAACUAUCUACGCCUGUGGUUUUCUGCCAGAUAACCUUCAGCGAUGGAGGUUCGCUGGGGCUCAUAAAUGUCUCUCUUCAGUGGAGACAGCUUUUUGGACGUUUGAUCUCAAAUCAGGUAGGACUACCCACUGAACUUAAGCAUAUCAAUAAGCGGAGGA
Molecule: unclassified non-coding RNA, 401 nt
Filed under: soil metagenome
Description: partial contains 5.8S ribosomal RNA, internal transcribed spacer 2, and large subunit ribosomal RNA
Rfam family: 5.8S ribosomal RNA (bases 1-121)
Source: RNAcentral